RNAcentral lists this ribosomal RNA (393 nucleotides) under uncultured bacterium. Its description in RNAcentral is "partial 16S ribosomal RNA". It matches the Rfam family "Bacterial small subunit ribosomal RNA", at positions 523 to 918 of the family's 1533-position model. The record is from RNAcentral.
AUACGGAGGAUCCGAGCGUUAUCCGGAUUUAUUGGGUUUAAAGGGUGCGCAGGCGGGAGAUUAAGUCGGCGGUGAAAUUUUUCAGCUCAACUGUAAAAGAGCCUUCGAAACCGGGUUCCUUGAGGGUAGAUGAAGUAGGCGGAAUUUGUGGUGUAGCGGUGAAAUGCAUAGAUAUCACGAGGAACUCCGAUUGCGCAGGCAGCUUACUAAACUACUACUGACGCUCAGGCACGAAGGCGUGGGGAUCAAACAGGAUUAGAUACCCUGGUAGUCCACGCAGUAAACGAUGAUUACUAGCUGUUUGCGAUACAAUGUAAGCGGCUGAGCGAAAGCGUUAAGUAAUCCACCUGGGGAGUACGUUCGCAAGAAUGAAACUCAAAUGAAUUGACGGGG